UACGUAGGGCGCAAGCGUUGUCCGGAAUUAUUGGGCGUAAAGAGCUCGUAGGCGGUUUGUCGCGUCGGCCGUGAAAUCUCCACGCUUAACGUGGAGCGUGCGGUCGAUACGGGCAGACUUGAGUUCGGUAGGGGAGACUGGAAUUCCUGGUGUAGCGGUGAAAUGCGCAGAUAUCAGGAGGAACACCGGUGGCGAAGGCGGGUCUCUGGGCCGAUACUGACGCUGAGGAGCGAAAGCGUGGGGAGCGAACAGG
RNAcentral lists this ribosomal RNA (253 nucleotides) under uncultured bacterium. RNAcentral describes it as "partial 16S ribosomal RNA". It matches the Rfam family "Bacterial small subunit ribosomal RNA", at positions 524 to 776 of the family's 1533-position model. The record is from RNAcentral.